Long non-coding RNA from Manduca sexta (tobacco hornworm), 554 nucleotides. RefSeq lists it as uncharacterized. The record is from RefSeq and is a predicted model, not a curated record. Lineage: Eukaryota; Metazoa; Arthropoda; Insecta; Lepidoptera; Sphingidae. The transcript has 2 exons.
AAGUCCCCAGUCGCAGUCAGCUUCAACAUAUUUACAACCAGUACAAGGGUUCUCAAUCCUUCACGCAGCAGAAUGUGAGGGGACCUGCACAAGGUGUAUCUCAUUCUGAAGGUCACAUCGCAGCUAAUCAGGGAAAUGUUAAUCCACAACGUCAAGCACCUGUGGAAAGAGUCGGAGAUGUUGUAGUUAAUAAUUCACCGCCUAAUGCUGUGCCCCAGAAAGUACAGCAAGUCAUGGAACAUAUUGGUGAUGUGCCCGUGGGCAAAGCCCGAGCCAAGGCGAGCCUAUUAAGGCACCGCCACCAAAUAGUAAACUAAGAAAUGGUCUACAAGACAUAAUUUAUACAUCAUAUCCGACAUCUGCUGCGUGGUCCUUCCAUGGGAAUAACCACACUCCCUAUUAUCCUGGACGCCGUUUUCGGCAUAGAACCUAAGUAUUGAUAUAUUUUGUAAUUAUAUUGUGCAUAUCGAGAAAUGUUUGUGGACGUCAUAAUUAUUUAUAAAAAUGUAUUUUAGAAAAAUGUGUACUGCGAAUAAAGUAAAACGUAAACCUGA